UCACUGUCCUGCCUGUCCCCACUCGCUGUUUGACAUGGCUUUGUGUGGUGCUCAGAGAAGGCUGAGCUGCCUAAGGCUGCCGCUGAGUGGGUGAGGACUCGCUUGUUGUCCAUGGUUCUAGUCUCAGCACUGCAAAAUACAAAACAAGCAAGCAAACAAAUGAACAAAAUGGAUCUCAUAUAGUAUCUGUAAGGCAUAGAUGAGAAAUGGCCACAAUGGUGCUUAAAAGAGUCUUGGUAGCUUGCUAAUGUUUGAAUAAUGAGUGGUGGAAGACAAUCAUAUCUAUGUUGCUUGGAAACAUUCAGUCCCUCACAGCAUGAUGUCAUCAUCAUUAUCAUCCAUGACAAGGACUUUGCAGAAAAGAGUAGACAUUUUUAGGUAGAUACAAAACCUAGGACAGUUUGCGAGAAAUUAGAUAUAUGUAUGUAUUUCCUGUAUUGUAAUUUUUAAAUUUUAAAAUUUAGCUUAGUGGUUGAAUUUGGUCUAUCCUUGGCCCAAUUUUUGACUGAUAGCACCAUUCAGGUACCUCCUGGAAGGAAGAAAAAAAGAUUGUUUUAAUUGAUCUCCUCCAAUUGGGAUAUUUUAACUCUUGCCACUCUGAGGACAGAGAAGCCAUCCUCAUCUGGGGAUGCGGUUAUCACUGAGAACCACAAAGACCUUGUCAUGGGGUCCUCUAUAUCCCCUGGACACUAAAAAGUGUCUAGAGCACUAACCAAAGGAACACACUUGAAGGGGGUGCCCCCUCUGAUCUCUGUGGGCCACACCUGCAUUUUGGAGGUGGGUUGCAGCCCUCUGAGAGAGGAAAGCAGAAGAUGUAGGGAGAUCUAUCGGGACUCACAGCCUGCCUCCAAGACAGGCAGUGUUAAAUGUCCCACCGACUCAGGUUAACUGGGUCCUCCUUUGGGGUUCAACCAAGCUUGCAGGCUUGAAGCACUCCACACCCUCUUUUUAGUUGAUCAACUCCCCAUAUCCAUUUGUGUGUCUCAUAGCUUGCUCCAUUCACCCCACUGAGCCUCAAUGGCUAUGGCUGUUCAGAGAGGUGUCCUCAAACUGUGUCUCCUUAGCAUAUGUCUAGCAAGUCUCUAACACUUGGUGGGAAGAGCAGAAAAGCAAAUGAUCUUCUUCUAGAGCAGACAGGGCAUAGAGGGGUCUGAGAGUCAAGUGUGUGUUUUGUGCAUGCUGGUCGUUUGGUUGAUUUUCAGAGGCCAGUAGCCAGGGCAGAGGACCUUCCCCGUGGCCCUUGGAUGUUUGGUGUGGUCCAGCACAGUGUCUUAUAGCUGUGGCUAUGAUGCCAUCCAUGGCUUUAGAUCUAGAGGGAUGUUGCUUAAUCCUCGUGGGAAGGUGUGUUCAACAUAAAUGUCAUCAUAUUUGUGUUUAAAACUACCCUGUCCAUCACAGUAGGCUCCACACACCAGGUACCGUCUCUAAGGAUGUGGUGAUCUUAUAAUACGGUAUUUGCAGUUAAAGUGUACUCUGUCAAGGGAAUGCACAGUAACUGUGUUUUUGAAAAUUGUCCAGCAUUUCACUUUGUACUUUGACUCUUUCUCCUAUGUUUCAUUUGAAUAACUCACUAAUUUAGACUAGCUGGUGACUUUUCUACUUACUUUCAGACUCAGUUCCUCAGUCCUCUUCAUUUGUAGAGAGCUUUUGAAAACCAAAUUUAUGCUGAGAGGUAAUGGGCCACACCUUUGAUCUCUGAGGCCAGCCUGAUCUCCAGAGCAAGUUCCAGGACAGUCAGGGCUACACAGAGAAACUCUGUCUUGAGGGGUGAGGUUAAUUUUCUCGUCACCAAUACCUGACUGACAGGAGCUUAGGGGAGGGAGGUUUUGCUUGGCCCCACUGUUGAGAGGAUUCAGUCCAUCCCGGUGAGGGAGGCCUUGGGGUGGGAACAUCCUGAGGCUGGAGCAGUAGUGUGAGGUGCCUGGUGUCUGCAGUCAGGAAGCCAGAGCCAGGCCUCAAACCCCAGCGGCCCUGGAUCUGCCAUCCAGACCUCAUGUCCAAAAGGUUCCACACCCAGCCAGAACAGCACUACUGCCUGUUUAAAUAAAUGAGUCUGGGUGAGGGGCUCUGUUCCCUUUCAAAACCAUAGCACCAAAGUGUUUUAACAAACAAACAAUCCAACAACCGUGUAAAUGUAUCUGUGUACAAACAUGAGUGUUUGUACUCAGCAUUGAUUCCUGAGGAGUUAGACCCAUGGUUCAACCUUCCCAAUGCCGUGACCCGUUUGAUACAGGUCCUCAUGUUGUGGUGACCCCCCAACCCAACCAUAAAAUUAUUUCAUUUGUACUUCAUAACUGUGAUUUGCGACUGUUACAAAUUGUAGUGUAAAUAUUUUCAGAGAUGGAGGUUUACCAAAGGGGACGUGCCCACAGGUUGGGGACAGCAGGAUUAGAGGGAGGAGCCAUGGGAGCUCUCCUUGCCUUUGUUCAGGCUCCAGAAAGAUACUAUCAAGGAUUGAGUCUGUCCUGUUUGUGCAUGGCGUAAAUACAGCUGCUUCCGGCAGCUCUUACCUCCUUAUCUGAUUUUUCUUUUAAAAUUAACCAAGCACUUGAAGUCCUUCAGUCUCCCUUGGCUUUCUUCAUUUCGUGACUCCUAUUCCUGCAUGAGCCUGUGGUGGUGACCUCAAGACUGCUAUUGAGGUGACUGACUCCUGGCGUGGUAGAACGGCCCUGGUCCAUCCUUACCAGGCAUCAGCCUGACCCUGUGGCAGCAGCACAGAGUCCCCUUUCACUGACCAACGCCCAGGCUUUCUUCCAGCACAGCCUGCGUUGGGACGGUGCAGGAUGCCUAGGUUAAAGGAGGGCUGACUGUUUAGGAGUUAGCCUUGGCUUGAAAAGGUAGGCAUGAAAGACCUCCAGGAACAUCUACUGCCAGGUCCUUUUUCUCAGUUACAGGAAUUCUGAACACACAAGCUCCUUCUAACUUGAACAUGACAAAUCAUUUGGAACCAAGGGAUCCUGUUCCUCUUAGAUUUGUGUUUUUGUGUUUUUGUUUUUUUGUUUUUUUUACCCAUUGUCUUCCUUCUGGUUAGAGUCUGGUCGUGUCAUUUGUAGCAAACUGUUCUCACAUAGUUUUGUCCGUGUGUGACACUCAGCACCCCUCAGAUAUGUCCUGCCAUCAGAUCCUCUCAAUAACUUGGAAGCCAAACUCAUUUUUUUCCUGUCAUUUUUAAGGAUUGUGAAACUGUGCUUGACACUAAGCCAGUCUAACAGAGUCGAGAGUGGGUCCCCUUCUUGUCCCUGGAGAGAAGUGGACAAGGAGUGCUCUCAGGAUACAGGGAAGCGUGCAGAAGAGCGAGGCUGUCCCACGGAAGGGUUGUUAGCAGGGUUCCCCACUAGGUAGCCUUCAGUUCCUGCUUGCCAGUUUCUAAACUCUCUGGUAGAAGCCACCAUGCUUCUCUGAGACACAUUUCCGGAGUGGCUUCACUUGUGUUUGAAGUUGAGGGAGGGUAGGAAAUGGCUAGUGUGGAUAAAAAACUUCUCAUGGGACUUUGAAGUUCUUCUCCUAGGAGGAAGCCGCCUCCGGGCUCCACAAACAGUCACCUCUGUUGGAAGGUUCAAGUAGCUGGUUCACAGUGAAUGCCGGCAUCGCCCAGGAGCCCAGCUCAGGCGGCUGCUUACAGCUGGCAUGCAAAUCCAGACAGAGCCUCUCUCUCAGAUAGGAAAGAAGCAGAUGAAAGGGGAACAUUCAAAGGAAAGAGUGGAGAGGGUUUGUUUGUUCACCUCUUGGCGUUGAGUCAGCUUUUAAGUCUGAUUUAAAUAAUUGACGCAAAGAUACAUCACAGACAAUCCUGUGAUGUUUGGAGGAGGGCUGCUAGCGGGGAUGAUGCACCUCCUAUUCACUUAGCAACCUGUCAAUAUUUACCUAGCAAUUCCAGAAGUGUUUGCUUUUAGUGAAUCAAGCAGACCGAAGCUCGAUGAGGAGCAAUGAGAAGACUCUGAAGGGUGAUAUAGAUCUCCAUUUUCUUCAGAAUAAAAAAAAAUCAGAAAACAAAGCACACAAAAAACCACCCGUAAUUCUUCUUCUAAUCUAAUUGCUGUUUGAGUGGGCAUCUCUGGGGUCUUCUGUAUAUAUUUGCCUUCAACUAAAUCAGGAUGGUAUAUCUCUUUGUUCUCUCUUUCUCUCUCUCUCUCUUUGUGUGUGUGUCUGUGUGUGUGUAUUGCAGGGAAUUGACCCAAAGGCCUUUUAUGUGCUAGGCAAGUCCUCUGCCGCUGAGCUGAGUACAUCCUGGCCCCAAAUGGUAACUUGCUUUAACCCAGCUCUGCCAUGCUGUUACCUGUGCCCUGGCUUGUGGGUUUUUCUUGUCUGUCAUUGAGUUAAAUCCUUGGUUUAUGAGCUGGGUCUGAUACUAGCAGUUCAGCCUUGAACCUGCCGUGCACCCCAAGCUGUCCACUUGUUCACUAUCUGGCGUCAUCCUUCCAAGUGCUCAGAUUACACGGAUGUAGAGAAAUGUAAACUAGGGUUCAAGCCUGGGUCCAGGGAACCCAGACAGCAUGGCUCCUCUGGGUGUACUUCCUUCUAUUCCAGUGGGCCUGGCAGACCUCCUUUCUCGGUCUUUAGCAUGAACCUCCUAUGGUCCUGGCAUCCCUGCUCACAGUUCCCAGGGGGAUGGAAAUAGAAGUUAUACACUGAGAGGCAGGCAGAUUUCUGAGUUCGAGGCCAGCCUGGUCUACAGAGUGAGUUCCAGGACAGCCAGGGCUAUACAGAGAAACCCUGUUUGGAAAAACAAACAAAUGAAAGAAGUUAUACACUGGAGAUGUGAGGAGGGCUCAUUGUGUCUAAGGGGAAUAGGUAAGCUGGGGACGGCUUCUUAGACUCUGAUGCAGUUUAAGAUUUUGUUAUAAAAGCUCCUUAGUGGGCGGGGGAGAAUAUAGCACAAGGAAAGAAGCUAAGCAGGGAGAUAGGGAGACUUCACCUGUCUGUCUGUCCUCUCUGACCCCUGCUGUAGAACAAGCAGGCACUGUCUCUCUUUUUACUACUUUAGGGGUAAUCAUUUGCAUAUAAUAAAAUCCACAGACCUUAAGCCUACAGCUCAGCUGUCUAACUACCACUCCCUUCAGCUUCCCCGGGAGUGUCCCACACUGCCUCUCUGCCUCCGACCCACCCAGUUGUCAUAAUUGUAC
Molecule: long non-coding RNA, 5123 nt
Organism: Mus musculus (house mouse)
Lineage: Eukaryota; Metazoa; Chordata; Mammalia; Rodentia; Muridae
Product: predicted gene, 39041
Exons: 2
Source: RefSeq, a predicted model, not a curated record